UGGGGAAUAUUGCGCAAUGGGGGAAACCCUGACGCAGCGACGCCGCGUGCGGGAUGAAGGCCUUCGGGUUGUAAACCGCUUUUGAUUGGGAGCAAGCCUUUUGGGUGAGUGUACCUUUCGAAUAAGCGCCGGCUAACUACGUGCCAGCAGCCGCGGUAAUACGUAGGGCGCAAGCGUUAUCCGGAAUUAUUGGGUUUAAAGGGUGCGUAGGUUGCAAGGGAAGUCAGGGGUGAAAAGCUGUAGCUCAACUAUGGUCUUGCCUUUGAAACUCUCUAGCUAGAGUGUACUGGAGGUACGUGGAACGUGUGGUGUAGCGGUGAAAUGCAUAGAUAUCACACAGAACUCCGAUUGCGCAGGCAGCGUACUACAUUACAACUGACACUGAAGCACGAAAGCGUGGGUAUCAAACAGG
Molecule: ribosomal RNA, 412 nt
Filed under: Verrucomicrobiota bacterium
Lineage: Bacteria; Pseudomonadati; Verrucomicrobiota
Description: Verrucomicrobia bacterium partial 16S ribosomal RNA
Rfam family: Bacterial small subunit ribosomal RNA
Source: RNAcentral